This 205-nucleotide unclassified non-coding RNA is filed under the name Hevea brasiliensis (rubber tree). The record is from RNAcentral. Lineage: Eukaryota; Viridiplantae; Streptophyta; Magnoliopsida; Malpighiales; Euphorbiaceae.
AGUUAAGUUGAGUUGAGUUGAGUAGUAUUGUUGUUAUUUACCAGCACUACCACUACCACUGCUAUAGCUGUCACCAUCAAUACUAGACAUUACUACCACAGCCAUCAUAAUCACCACUACAAACAUCAUUUUUCACCACCAUUACUCAUCAUAAAGACUUUAUCCCAAUGAAUUCAUUUUUUUUUCAAUUGAAUUUUAAUUAUUC